Molecule: long non-coding RNA, 2821 nt
Filed under: Sus scrofa (pig)
Lineage: Eukaryota; Metazoa; Chordata; Mammalia; Artiodactyla; Suidae
Description: lncRNA (ENSSSCG00015060841.1)
Source: RNAcentral
GAGUAUCUAGACAUAGUUCUCAAUGCUAUUCAGCAGGAUCUCCUUAUAAAUCUAUUCUAGGUUGUGUCUGAUAAGCCCAAAGAAACAAAACUCAAAUCUGUUAAAAAACAAAAUUCAACUGAGUAAAUUUUAAAGAUCCUAUUGGCUUUAUUUGAUGAUUCAUGAAUUAGGAAGCAUUCCCUCCAGCAGAUAAAAGGGAGUUCUCGGAGUUCCCCUCGUGGUGUAAUGGAAAAGAACCCCACUAGGAACCAUGAGGCCAGGGAUUGAACCCGCAUCCUCAUGGAUACUAGUCAGGUCCUUAACCCACUGAGCCACAAUGGGAACUCCUAGUAGCAGGCUUCCUUGAUGGUUUCUCCUUCUACUUGGCCAUUUAUAAGAUUCUCAGUUGAUCCACCCCACCUUUUCCUUCCCACCCACUGUUUUCCUUAUUCUGACUAUUGCUGUCCUCUACCUUAUACUGCUUACUGAAAUACUAUAUUCUCUCUUAAUUUUUGCAUGUCCAAGGCCUUAAUGGCCCCUCUAACUUCUCUCAAAGUCAUGAGUUCUCAGCUUCUACUCCUGUUGCUUAUGCUUUAUUCUUUCAGUACCUUUCAUUUCAUAUUUCUGAGGGAAAAUUGACUUUGCCCUGCAGGCUCACCCCCACUCCAGAAAUGUCAUGUCCUCACUUGUUGACUUGUUUAGAUAUUGACUGCCCUGAAGUUAGGAUUCCACCUCUGGUCCAGUUAAAUGUGUCUGGGAUCUGGUGGGAUUAGGAACGUGUCUUGAAACGUAUAAAUACCUAACACUGCCUUAUUAAUAGAGCUUGUGAAUGUGUGGAAGACUUGGUGAUAAGACAGGAUUUUUUACACAGUGUUGUGUGUCAUCUGGGGAUUUUAAUGAGUAUUAAAGUUUGUCAGUUUCUGGGUUCAUCAGUUCCCCAGAGGGGAAGCUUUUAACUUAGCUUUUGCAAGUUUAAAUUUUCUGGGCCUGCAUUCCACUUUUCAGUUUCCUAGUUCCCAGAUAACCGACCUCAUAGUAUGAAUUCUCAGGAUGAACCUCUUUCAAGGUAAAAUGUGUGAGAGAAGAGACCAUCUACUGGAAGAAAAACUGACUUUUAUUGCAGAACCUUCCAAAGAGUUGAGGAGGAAAAUAAAUUGGCUUAUUCUGAAGUUGGAGGCUAUUUAAAUAGAUUUUUCCAUAGCUUUUCUGUAUAGGGGAAGAGACUGGUCAGGUUAAAGUUGGUUUAUAGCAAUUAUAAGAUUGUGCUGAAUUUAGAUUUAUCUCUGGCUAUUUAUAUUUUGGGGUACUAUUGUAAAUGGUACUUUAAAAAUGUUAAUUUAUGGAGUUCCCAUCAUGGCUCAAUGGAUUAAGAACCCGAUACAGUGCCCAUGAGGAUGCAGGUUCAAUUUCUGGCCUUGAUCAGAGGGUUAAAGAUCCCACGUUGCUGCAAGCUACAGUGUGGGUUGCAAUUGUAGCUCAGAUCCAGCAUUGCAGCAGUUGUGGCAUAGGUUGGCAGCUGCUGCUCUGAUUUGACCCCUAGCCUGGGAACUUCCAUAUGUCUCAAGUGUGGCCCUAAAAGGAAAAAGAAAAGCCAAUUUGUUCCCUGCUAGUAUAUAGAAAUGUAUAUAUAUUUGUAUUUUGAUCUUGUAUCCCGUGUUCCUACUAAAUUAAUUUACUGAUUCUAGAAGCUUUAUUGUAGAUUCUUUAGGAUUUUCUACAUUGAUGGUUAUGUUGAGUGCAGAUAAAGGUCAUGUUAUGUCUUCCUGUUUAUCAGUAUGCCUUUUAUUUCUUUUUCUUACUACAUUGACUGACCCUAAGUAUGAUUUUGAAGUGAUAGGAUGAGAUUAGACAUCCUUGCCUUGUUUCUGAGUUUAAGGGAUGAUUGUACAUUCCCAUUAAUGGUAGGGUUUUUUUUUGUUUGUUUGUUUGUUUUUGCCAUUUCUUGGGCCACUCCCAGGCUAUGGAGGUUCCCAGGCUAGGGGUCCAGUUGGAGCUGUAGCCACCAGCCCACGCCAGAGCCAGAGCAACUCAGGAUCUGAGCUGAGUCUGCAACCUACACCACAGCUUAUGGCAAUGUCGGAUCCUUAACCCACUGAGCAAGGCCAGGGAUUGACCCUACAACCUCAUGGUUCCUAGUCGGAUUCGUUAACCACUGAGCCACGACAGGAACUCCAAUGGUAUGUUUUUUAUCAAUGCUUUUUAUUGAGUUGAGGAAGUUCCUUUUUAUCUCUAGUUUUCUGAGUUUUCAUCAUAAAUGGACAUUGGAUUUCAUUACAUACUUUUCGUGUGUCUUGUGAGAUGAUCAAUCAUGUGGGUUUUUUCUUUAGUCUACUGAUACAGUGGAUUACAUUAAUUGAUUUUUGAAUAUUGAAUCCCUCGUGCAUACUCUUAAUAAGUCCCACUUGGUCUCGAUGUGUUAUCCUUUUUUUAUAUUGCUAUAUUCACUUUGUUAGUAUUUUGUUACGGAUUUUGGUUUUGGCUUUGUCUUUGACCUGUGGUCUUUUGUAUUGCUGUUACUGGGUUUGGUGUCAGUGUUAUGCUGGCCUCCUAAAAUUAGAUGGGGUAGUUCCCGAUGUGGUUCAGCGGUAACAAACCUGACCAGUAUCCAUGAGGAUGCAGGUUCGAUCUCUGGCCUCCCUCAGUGGGUUAAAGUUCUGGCGUUGCUUGUCAUGAGCUGUGACCCACUCAUGCCGUGGGCUGUGGUGUAGGUUACCCCGCAGCUCGGAUCUGGCAUUGCUAUGCCUGUGGUGUAGGCCAGCAGCUGCAGCUCCAGUGUGACCCCUAGCCUGGGAGCAUCUAUAUGCUGCAGGUGUGGCACUAAAAAGCAAAAAGAAAAAAAAAA